GACGAACGCUGGCGGCGUGCUUAACACAUGCAAGUCGAGCGAUGAAGCUCCUUCGGGAGCGGAUUAGCGGCGGACGGGUGAGUAACACGUGGGUAACCUGCCUCAUAAAGGGGAAUAGCCUUCCGAAAGGAAGAUUAAUACCGCAUAAGAUUGUAGUUUCGCAUGAAACAGCAAUUAAAGGAGUAAUCCGCUAUGAGAUGGACCCGCGUCGCAUUAGCUAGUUGGUGAGGUAACGGCUCACCAAGGCGACGAUGCGUAGCCGACCUGAGAGGGUGAUCGGCCACAUUGGGACUGACACACGGCCCAGACUCCUACGGGAGGCAGCAGUGGGGAAUAUUGCACAAUGGGGGAAACCCUGAUGCAAAAACGCCGCGUGAGUGAUGACGGUCUUCGGAUUGUAAAACUCUGUCUUCAGGGACUAUAAUGACGGUACCUGAGGAGGAAGCCACGGCUAACUACGUCCCACCAGCCGCGGUAAUACGUAGGUGGCAAGCGUUGUCCGGAUUUUCUGGGGGUAAAGGGAGCGUAGGUGGAUAUUUAAUUGGGAUGUGAAAUACUCGGGCUUACCCUGAGUGCUCCAUUCCAAACUGGAUAUCUAGAGUGCAGGAGAGGAAAGUAGAAUUCCUAGUGUAGCGGUGAAAUGCGUAGAGAUUAGGAAGAAUACCAGUGGCGAAGGCGACUUUCUGGACUGUAACUGACACUGAGGCUCGAAAGCGUGGGGAGCAACCAGGAUUAGAUACCCUGGUAGUCCACCCCGUAAACGAUGAAUACUAGGUGUGGGGGUUGUCAUGCCCUCCGUGCCGCCGCUAACGCAUUAAGUAUUCCGCCUGGGGAGUACGGUCGCAAGAUUA
This 851-nucleotide ribosomal RNA is filed under the name uncultured bacterium. Its description in RNAcentral is "bacterial SSU rRNA". It matches the Rfam family "Bacterial small subunit ribosomal RNA", at positions 28 to 896 of the family's 1533-position model. The record is from RNAcentral.